This 472-nucleotide ribosomal RNA is filed under the name uncultured bacterium. RNAcentral's name for it is "partial 16S ribosomal RNA". It matches the Rfam family "Bacterial small subunit ribosomal RNA", at positions 28 to 507 of the family's 1533-position model. The record is from RNAcentral.
GACGAACGCUGGCGGCGUGCUUAACACAUGCAAGUCGAACGCUGAAGCUUGGUGCUUGCACGGGGUGGAUGAGUGGCGAACGGGUGAGUAAUACGUGAGUAACCUGCCGUGGACUCUGGGAGAAGCCGGUGAAAUUGGGUCUAAUACUGGAUACGACAGGUCACCGCAUGGUGUUGUGUGGAAAGGGUUUUGCUGGUUUUGGAUGGGCUCACGGCUUAUCAGCUUGUUGGUGGGGUAAUGGCUCACCAAGGCGACGACGGUUAGCCGGCCUGAGAGGGUGAACGGCCACACUGGGACUGAGACACGGCCCAGACUCCUACGGGAGGCAGCAGUGGGGAAUAUUGCACAAUGGGCGAAAGCCUGAUGCAGCGACGCCGCGUGAGGGAUGACGGCCUUCGGGUUGUAAACCUCUUUCAGCACGGAAGAAGCGAAAGUGACGGUACGUGAAGAAGAAGCGCCGGCUAACUACGUG